CCCUUAGAUGUUCUGGGCUGCACGCGCGCUACACUGAUGCGCUCAACGAGUUUUAACCUUGCCUGGAAAGGUUGGGUAAUCUUUUUAAAACGCAUCGUGAUGGGGAUAGAUUAUUGCAAUUAUUAAUCUUCAACGAGGAAUUCCUAGUAAACGCAAGUCAUCAGCUUGCAUUGAUUACGUCCCUGCCCUUUGUACACACCGCCCGUCGCUCCUACCGAUUGAACGUUCCGAUGAAUACCAUGGAUUGAGAGUCUGAAUGGGUUCGCCUAUUUCUGCUUCUCGAGAAGUGGAGUAAAUCUUAGCGUUUAGAGGAAGGAGAAGUCGUAACA
Molecule: ribosomal RNA, 329 nt
Filed under: uncultured eukaryote
Lineage: Eukaryota
Description: partial 18S ribosomal RNA
Rfam family: Eukaryotic small subunit ribosomal RNA
Source: RNAcentral